CACUCGGCCUUGCGGGGGGGUCCACAGUUAAGGACACGGUGUGGCGGGUCCUCAAAGGAGCCAUGACUAAUGCCCUCACCGAGGGCAAAAUGGGAAGGUGGCCUUUGAGAGGCUCCACCUAAAAGGCAUUGUAAUUGCUGCAGUGAGAAGGAAUCUGGUCUGUGUGGCAUCUACGGAGGCAGAAAUUAUAAAUACAAUUAAAAAAUGGUUCUACUGGGCUGGGGAUAGGGACGGAGGGCGCAAAAGGAGAAUGCCCGCCCAACCAACCCCUCAACCAGCCCAGGACUCAGUCCAGGACUGACCUUUACAAAAAUAAAUAAAUAAAAUAUUCAAAUUUUA
Molecule: non-coding RNA, 339 nt
Organism: Nothobranchius furzeri (turquoise killifish)
Lineage: Eukaryota; Metazoa; Chordata; Actinopteri; Cyprinodontiformes; Nothobranchiidae
Source: RefSeq, a predicted model, not a curated record